GAACGCGUGUAGCGAUAAUAACGGUGCGCCGGUGUGAGUAACGCGUGGGAACCUGCCCUGGGGUGCGGGAUAACCCGGCGAAAGCCGGGCUAAUACCGCAUACGACCUAUGGGUGAAAGAUUUAUCGCCCUUGGAGGGGCCCGCGUCGGAUUAGCUAGUUGGUGAGGUAACGGCUCACCAAGGCGAUGAUCCGUAGCUGGUCUGAGAGGAUGAUCAGCCACACUGGGACUGAGACACGGCCCAGACUCCUACGGGAGGCAGCAGUGGGGAAUAUUGGACAAUGGGCGCAAGCCUGAUCCAGCAAUGCCGCGUGAGUGAUGAAGGCCUUAGGGUUGUAAAGCUCUUUCGCCCGCGACGAUGAUGACGGUAGCGGGAGAAGAAGCCCCGGCUAACUUCGUG
Molecule: ribosomal RNA, 399 nt
Filed under: uncultured bacterium
Lineage: Bacteria
Description: bacterial SSU rRNA
Rfam family: Bacterial small subunit ribosomal RNA
Source: RNAcentral